Molecule: microRNA precursor, 86 nt
Filed under: Trifolium pratense (red clover)
Lineage: Eukaryota; Viridiplantae; Streptophyta; Magnoliopsida; Fabales; Fabaceae
Description: pre miRNA mir-160
Rfam family: mir-160 microRNA precursor family
About the family: The hairpin precursors (represented here) are predicted based on base pairing and cross-species conservation -- their extents are not known.
Source: Rfam by way of RNAcentral
GUGUGCCUGGCUCCCUGUAUGCCAUUUGCAGAGCCCAUCAAAACAUUGAUGGCCUUAGUGAAUGGCGUACAAGAAGUCAAGCAUGC